This 459-nucleotide ribosomal RNA is filed under the name uncultured bacterium. RNAcentral's name for it is "partial 16S ribosomal RNA". It matches the Rfam family "Bacterial small subunit ribosomal RNA", at positions 338 to 795 of the family's 1533-position model. The record is from RNAcentral.
CCUACGGGAGGCAGCAGUGAGGAAUAUUGGUCAAUGGCCGAGAGGCUGAACCAGCCAAGUCGCGUGAGGGAUGACGGCCCUACGGGUUGUAAACCUCUUUUGUCGGGGAGCAAAGAGAGUCACGUGUGGUUCAUUGAGAGUACCCGAAGAAAAAGCAUCGGCUAACUCCGUGCCAGCAGCCGCGGUAAUACGGAGGAUGCGAGCGUUAUCCGGAUUUAUUGGGUUUAAAGGGUGCGCAGGCGGAGGUGCAAGUCAGUGGUCAAAUUGCGGGGCUCAACCCCGUACUGCCGUUGAAACUGCAUCCCUUGAGUGCGCGAGAAGUAUGCGGAAUGCGUGGUGUAGCGGUGAAAUGCAUAGAUAUCACGCAGAACUCCGAUUGCGAAGGCAGCAUACCGGCGCGCAACUGACGCUCAUGCACGAAAGCGUGGGUAUCGAACAGGAUUAGAUACCCUAGUAGUC